GGUGGAGCGAAUCACAAAACUCGGUCUCAGUUCAGAUUGCAGGCUGCAACUCGCCUGCAUGAAGUUGGAAUUGCUAGUAAUCGCGAAUCAGAAUGUCGCGGUGAAUACGUUCCCGGGCCUUGUACACACCGCCCGUCACAACCAUGAGAGUCGAUAACACCCGAAGCCUGUGAGCUAACCUUUUAGGAGGCAGCAGUCGAAGGUGGGGUUGAUGAUUGGGGUGAAGUCGUAACAAGGUAGC
This 241-nucleotide ribosomal RNA is filed under the name uncultured bacterium. RNAcentral's name for it is "partial 16S ribosomal RNA". It matches the Rfam family "Bacterial small subunit ribosomal RNA", at positions 1261 to 1500 of the family's 1533-position model. The record is from RNAcentral.